Molecule: ribosomal RNA, 246 nt
Filed under: uncultured bacterium
Lineage: Bacteria
Description: partial 16S ribosomal RNA
Rfam family: Bacterial small subunit ribosomal RNA
Source: RNAcentral
AGUAACGCGUGGGUAACCUGCCUUAUACAGGGGGAUAACAGUCAGAAAUGGCUGCUAAUACCGCAUAAGCGCACAGAGCUGCAUGGCUCAGUGUGAAAAACUCCGGUGGUAUAAGAUGGACCCGCGUUGGAUUAGCUUGUUGGUGGGGUAACGGCCCACCAAGGCGACGAUCCAUAGCCGGCCUGAGAGGGUGAACGGCCACAUCGGGACUGAGACACGGCCCAGACUCCUACGGGAGGCAGCAUG